GGGGAAAUCAUUAAUUGUCCACAUUAAUGCAGCUCUGAGUGUAAAGAAUUCUCCAUUAUGUGCAUCAUACACUCCUCUAAUCCCAUCCCACAAAGAUUUUAAAUCAUUAAUCAAAGGCUCCAAGUAGACGUCUAUAUCAUUUCCGGGUUGUUUAGGACCGGAAAUCAAUAAGGUUAACAUCAUGAACUUUCGUUUCAUGCACAGCC
This 206-nucleotide long non-coding RNA is filed under the name Prunus persica (peach). RNAcentral describes it as "long non-coding RNA (PPER_LNC004360)". Lineage: Eukaryota; Viridiplantae; Streptophyta; Magnoliopsida; Rosales; Rosaceae. The record is from RNAcentral.